AUUCCAGCUCCAAUAGCGUAUAUUAAAGUUGUUGCAGUUAAAAAGCUCGUAGUUGGAUUUCGGGGCGGCCCGACUGGUCCGCCGCGAGGUGAGCACUGGUCGGCCGCCCUUCCUCUCGGAAGCCCCGACUGCUCUUCGUUGCAGUGGUCGGGGAGUUCGGGACGUUUACUUUGAAAAAAUUAGAGUGUUCAAGGCAGGCCUUCGCCUGAAUACAUUAGCAUGGAAUAAUGGAAGAGGACUUCGGUCCCGUUUUGUUGGUUUCUUGGACCGAGGUAAUGAUUAAGAGGGACAGUUGGGGGCAUUCGUAUUUAAUUGUCAGAGGUGAAAUUCUCGGAUUUAUGAAAGACGAACGACUGCGAAAGCAUUUGCCAAGGAUGUUUUCAUCA
This 386-nucleotide ribosomal RNA is filed under the name Mycale sp. RNAcentral describes it as "partial small subunit ribosomal RNA". It matches the Rfam family "Eukaryotic small subunit ribosomal RNA", at positions 582 to 975 of the family's 1831-position model. The record is from RNAcentral. Lineage: Eukaryota; Metazoa; Porifera; Demospongiae; Poecilosclerida; Mycalidae.